GAGUCAAGUAAUCUUGGUUAAA
RNAcentral lists this microRNA (22 nucleotides) under Strongyloides ratti. Its description in RNAcentral is "str-miR-8367-5p". Lineage: Eukaryota; Metazoa; Nematoda; Chromadorea; Rhabditida; Strongyloididae. The record is from miRBase by way of RNAcentral.